GAUCGGAGGAGUUGGUAAAAUAAUUUUUAAAAAAAACCUAGCUCUCUUUUGCUCGCUUUCUGUGAGAUCUCGAUCUUCCUUCGAUUCCAUCAUAAGCAGAAUUGACAACUGGAAACAUGAACAUAUACGGCAGUUCCUGAGAGAGAAGGUGAAGCCUGGUGCAUCAGCAAGCUAAGAUUUGAAUCUCAGGGAUAUGAGGUGCUGGACAGAGUUCCAUGACAAAUCUAAAUCGGCAAAAAGUUUUUGAAUAGGUAAGCUGGGCUUGAAUUAGAGGCCUAAUACCUCUCCACAGUACACACAAACAUUUAAAUGCAGCACAAAUGCAUAUGGGGACAUCAUAGUUGUACAAAAAGGUAAGAACAUCAGUCUGAUCCAUUCAUUAGAUGGGCCACACAUGUAAGAUUGCUGAUUAUUUUAAACAGAUAAUUGUUUUUGUGCGUGUGGCUGCCAGAUGAAUGAACCUACCUAACUUUUAUCCCGGGUGAUCUUCACAAAUGGAUCCAACCUGAUUCACAGCUCAAA
Molecule: long non-coding RNA, 522 nt
Organism: Magnolia sinica
Lineage: Eukaryota; Viridiplantae; Streptophyta; Magnoliopsida; Magnoliales; Magnoliaceae
Exons: 3
Source: RefSeq, a predicted model, not a curated record